CCGGCAGCUAAAAAUACACGCCAACGAUGAACUGGCUCUGGCUGCUUAAGUAAAAGCAGCCCAUCGGCCCGGGUAGCCUACGACCCGGGUACCGGUGUCAUCUUAGUAGGCUUACCCCCUGAGCCCUGGCCCGGGGCUUCCGGGGGACACUCAACGGGCUAGCCCUCCUGCGGCGCCCCGGUCCGCAGGGUAGGGCGAAGCUAAACCGGGAGCGACGCUCGUACAAUCUCACGGAUGGCGCGCUCGCGGACGCGGGUUCAAUUCCCGCCGCCUCCACUA
Molecule: transfer-messenger RNA, 279 nt
Filed under: Actinomycetota bacterium
Lineage: Bacteria; Bacillati; Actinomycetota
Description: partial transfer-messenger RNA
Rfam family: transfer-messenger RNA
About the family: Bacterial tmRNA, also known as 10Sa RNA or SsrA, is named for its dual tRNA and mRNA-like properties.
Source: RNAcentral